RNAcentral lists this long non-coding RNA (3110 nucleotides) under Sus scrofa (pig). Its description in RNAcentral is "lncRNA (ENSSSCG00030051086.1)". Lineage: Eukaryota; Metazoa; Chordata; Mammalia; Artiodactyla; Suidae. The record is from RNAcentral.
AGUUAUGUAAAAGACCCAGGAGUGCAGCUCGGAGGACUGAGGAGAUUAAAGUGAAGCUUUGAAGCUUUGAAGGAUGCAAACAACAUUUUUCGUGGAAUUCCAAGGUAUUUUUUUGCCCAAUCAGAAGACUAGUUCACUUGCCGUGUGAAGGCAACAGUGGAAUCUUCCCCCUGCCCAAGGAGCUUCUGCUCAAUAUAAGUUUUCAUAACGGGAGUAAUUUAAGACUUCACAACUUAUGUGACACGGAAGAAACAACUUUUGCCUAAAAUACAUAAGGGCCAAAUAUAACAAAAUAUUUGUCUUUUCCAUAAAAAUCUUUAAUAUGAUCGUCAUAUUGUAGUUUCUUUAAAGAAUGCUUGUAUUCUUCGGACCUACUAGGGUGAAUUAAAUGAAAAAAAUUUAAAACACUUAAUUAAGCCUGUCCUCUGGGUAUAAAUUGACCUUUACAUGUUUACCAGAGACACCAAUUUUUUAAAUAGGUGUUAAUGACUAGCCGCUGAUUUUGGUGAAACUGCCUAAACGUUUCUUAAGAUUGAGUCAUACCUGGAGUUCCCGUGGCGCAGUGGUUAACGAAUCCGACUAGGAACCAUGAGGUUGCGGGUUCGGUCCCUGCCCUUGCUUAGUGGGUUAAUGAUCCGGCGUUGCCAUGAGCUGCGGUGUAGGUUGCAGACGCGGCUCGGAUCCCGCGUUGCUGUGGCUCUGGCCUAGGCCGGUGGCUACAGCUCCGAUUCGACCCCUAGCCUGGGAACCCCCAUAUGCCGCAGGAGCGGCCCAAGAAAUAGCCAAAAAAAAAAAGAUUGAGUCAUACCUCGGCAGUAUGUAAGAAGAUGUGGUGCUGGGAUUUAGGAAGGCGCCUUGGCAAGGGUGGGGGGAGGUUGAACUUUGGUGACGUAUACCUAUCCUACAAGGCUGUUGUGAGAAUUACACACGAUAAUGUGGAUAAAAUGCCUGGAACAGAGUAAGUACUUAAUAAAUGUUAGUUCUUCAUCCUUUCAUGUUACUGAUGAUGGCCAAACACACAGUUCUUCCAGAACUUUUAUAUUAGGUCAUAUAAAUAUACAUUUUUAAGCAUUUGGCGAUCUAUCCUGAUUUUAGCAGUGUUAUUUUAUAUUGAUACUUAAGAAAAGCCCCAAUAACAUAUGUUGAAAGUGUAUAGUUUCUCAUUAAGUUAUAGGUUGAUGAUAAUUCAAAAAAUAAUGCAAAGGGUUUUGAAUUUCCUAGUGAAAUGAGACAAGGUUAAACGGUGUUCGAGAGUAGAAUAAUUACAUCAGAAUUCAACUUGCCCCAGUUUUAUUUGUGAAAUUUAAUUUAUCCCAUAAAGAUACUAAAUUGAUAAAGUAUUCUCGUAUUAGUAGAGUCCACUAAGAACAAAGUGGAGGCAUGGAGUCUGGACAUUAGAAAUGAAGGGUGUGCAGGCUGGUACAGCUUGUAGGAGUCAUGGAACUUGGAAGACAAGUUGAAAAGGACCCUGGAAACAUUUGGCUGUAGGCUGAGAAAUGCCUUUGAGAGAGUUAAAGCCGUAAUAAAUAUACCCAAGAUGUUUAAAGAAGAACCUUGUAAAAAGAAAGCAGCCACACUAGACUCCCAGCUGCUAUUCUUUCUGCCAUCCAGUUUAAGCCUCUGCAUGGUUUACAAGGUCUCCCUGUAGACAGUGGAGCAAAUAAUGUAACAGUGAGAGCUCCAGAGCAACUGUCAGGAUGAUUGUCACAGGUAAAGCAUUAAUAAGUAAGCAUAUACCUCCCCAAAGGAGAAAGAGGCUGGGUAGUGGCAGUGAGAGUUGGGGGGGGGGGUUGGUGUUGAUAAUUGAGACCCAGAUGUCAUAUUUUAAAAUGUCCUACUUACCUUUUAAAGUUAUUAACAUGCAUAUAAUGUAGGAAAACUAACAUUUUGGAAAAUUUGGCAUCAGUGAUGAGACUAUAUUAAGACUUUGUAUGCAAGUUAUUGUGCAAAAUUUAAUUGUAACUGCAUGGUCCGUGCUCUCCAAGAGCUUACUGUUCAGAACAAUUGGUGGGUUUGGAGAUUUAGUUAAAUUGCUUACCUGUGAUACUGUUUUCCAUUACUUUUUAUUCAGUAAAUAUAUGUUGGAGACUUGUUAUGUGCCAGGCAUUUUCUUGCCACCAGAGGGAUACAGUGUUGAACAAAACAAAACAAAACCUUCCCUUAAGCUUAAAUUUUAUAGGAGGAAGAGAAAAAAAGACAAAUGACUUUUACUCUCAGCGAGAAGGGAAACAGUGGGUUUUGAGCAGAGGAGCGGCAUGAUUUGAUUUUGUUUUAUCAGUAUGACUCUGGCCUUCAGUUUUGAAAAUAGUGUGAGGUGAGGCAAGGAAGAAUCAGCUGGGAGGCUAUUGCCCUAAAAUCCACACGGUGAUGAUGGAGGCUCAGUUGGCAGAAGUGGUGGUGGAAGUAGGCAGAAUUAUGAUGUUUUUAAGAUAGAGCCAACUGGAUUUGCUGAUGGAUUAGCUAUGGGGUAUGAAGGAAAAAGAACAGUCAGAGAUGACUUGGAGAGUUAAAUCAUCAUUUAUGAAUACGGGGAAUCCUAUAGGAACAUCAGUCUUUUUUUUUUUAAGUUUUAUUGUAGUUGAUUUACAAUGUUGUGAUAAUUUCUGCUGUAUAACAGAGCGAUUUAGCUCUACAUGUACACAUUCAUUCUUUCCCAGAUUCUUUACCCAUACAGAUCAUCACAGAACAUUGGGCAGAGUUCCCUGUGCUACAUAGCAGGUCCCCACUGGAGGAGCAUCAGUCUUAGUGGGGAAGGUCAGGAGGUUGGCAUGGGGUGAUGUUGAGUGUGAAACAUCUAGUAAACAUCCAGGGGGAGAUGUAAAUCUGAAAAUAUGACCCUUGAGUUCAGAGAUGAGGUUUAGUCUCUUGUAGGUGGUUUAUGAAAUGAUGAGACCCAUUGAAAAAAAGUCUGAGGAGUAUCCACUGUGGUUCAGUGGUAACGAACCUGACUAGUAACCAUGAGGACAUGGGUUCGAUUCCUGACCUUACUCAGUGGGUUAAGGAUCCAGAGUUGCUGUAGCUGUGGUGUAGGCCAGCAGCUGCAGCUCUGGUUUGACCUCUAGCCUGGGAACUUCCAUAUGCUGCAGGUGCAGCCCUAAAAAAAAAAAAAA